This 503-nucleotide ribosomal RNA is filed under the name uncultured bacterium. RNAcentral describes it as "partial 16S ribosomal RNA". It matches the Rfam family "Bacterial small subunit ribosomal RNA", at positions 30 to 523 of the family's 1533-position model. The record is from RNAcentral.
AUUGAACGCUGGCGGCAGGCUUAACACAUGCAAGUCGAGCGGGGUGAUGGUGCUUGCACUAUCACUUAGCGGCGGACGGGUGAGUAAUGCUUAGGAAUCUGCCUAUUAGUGGGGGACAACAUCUCGAAAGGGAUGCUAAUACCGCAUACGUCCUACGGGAGAAAGCAGGGGAUCACUUGUGACCUUGCGCUAAUAGAUGAGCCUAAGUCGGAUUAGCUAGUUGGUGGGGUAAAGGCCUACCAAGGCGACGAUCUGUAGCGGGUCAGAGAGGAUGAUCCGGCACACUGGGACGUAGACACGGCUCAGAAUCCGACGGGAGGCAGCAGUGGGGAAUAUUGGACAAUGGGGGGAACCCUGAUCCAGCCAUGCCGCGUGUGUGAAGAAGGCCUUAUGGUUGUAAAGCACUUUAAGCGAGGAGGAGGCUCUUUUGGUUAAUACCCAAGAUGAGUGGACGUUACUCGCAGAAUAAGCACCGGCUAACUCUGUGCCAGCAGCCGCCGUAA